RNAcentral lists this long non-coding RNA (690 nucleotides) under Phaseolus vulgaris (common bean). Its description in RNAcentral is "long non-coding RNA (PVUL_LNC005372)". Lineage: Eukaryota; Viridiplantae; Streptophyta; Magnoliopsida; Fabales; Fabaceae. The record is from RNAcentral.
GCACACCUAUCCAAGGAAGCCAAAGCACAAGCCAAGGAGAGCGUCUAGACCAAGACCAAGACCAAGGUGAGCGUCUAGGACGUGAAAGUGAGCGUCUAGGACGUGAAGGUGAGCGUCUAGGACGUGAAGGAGGGAGGCUAUCCAAGGAGCUAGACCGUCUAGGACCCCUUACAAGAUCAAUGGCCAAACAUAUUCAAACACAAGCAAAUGAGGCCACGGAUGGAAGAGAGAAGGCUUUGUAUAUGUUUGCAUAAAGGCCCAUUGGGGGUAUUUAGUAGAUAGGGUAGUGUAGGAAGCAUUUUUGGAAGGAAACAUUCUAGAAUGUAGGGUUGUGUGGCCGGUCAUGGAUUGGCACAUGGCUUAGCAUUUAGAUUUAAUUUUUGGUUUUCUUUUCUUGUAAUUUAGCUUACAAGUUACGUCCACAAAUAGCCUAUAAAUAGGAAGGCUAUUCCAUUGUAUUUGACAAGUUUAUUUGAGUAUUGUUAUGCUGCCCAUUUUGUGCACUAGCUAUACUUCUCCUAGAAAUCUAGGCUAUAAACUUCACUCCCUUCACCUUUCUUCAUAGAGCUGGCCGAACCUCUCUAAAUUCAUACUCAUCAUGCACCUUCAAAGCCAUCACAACUCCUAGGAGGGCUUUGUUUCACUCACCCAUUGCUUCCGCAUCCAUUUUACUACUUUGAUUCAAGAAGA